GUGGCGAACGGGUGAGUAACACGUGAGUAACCUGCCCCUGACUCUGGGAUAAGCGUUGGAAACGACGUCUAAUACUGGAUAUGAUCGCCGGCCGCAUGGUCUGGUGGUGGAAAGAUUUUUUGGUUGGGGAUGGACUCGCGGCCUAUCAGCUUGUUGGUGAGGUAAUGGCUCACCAAGGCGACGACGGGUAGCCGGCCUGAGAGGGUGACCGGCCACACUGGGACUGAGACACGGCCCAGACUCCUACGGGAGGCAGCAGUGGGGAAUAUUGCACAAUGGGCGAAAGCCUGAUGCAGCAACGCCGCGUGAGGGAUGACGGCCUUCGGGUUGUAAACCUCUUUUAGUAGGGAAGAAGCGAAAGUGACGGUACCUGCAGAAAAAGCACCGGCUAACUACGUGCCAGCAGCCGCGGUAAUACGUAGGGUGCAAGCGUUGUCCGGAAUUAUUGGGCGUAAAGAGCUCGUAGGCGGUUUGUCGCGUCUGCUGUGAAAUCCCGAGGCUCAACCUCGGGCUUGCAGUGGGUACGGGCAGACUAGAGUGCGGUAGGGGAGAUUGGAAUUCCUGGUGUAGCGGUGGAAUGCGCAGAUAUCAGGAGGAACACCGAUGGCGAAGGCAGAUCUCUGGGCCGUAACUGACGCUGAGGAGCGAAAGCAUGGGGAGCGAACAGGAUUAGAUACCCUGGUA
RNAcentral lists this ribosomal RNA (684 nucleotides) under Curtobacterium sp. RNAcentral's name for it is "bacterial SSU rRNA". It matches the Rfam family "Bacterial small subunit ribosomal RNA", at positions 95 to 792 of the family's 1533-position model. Lineage: Bacteria; Bacillati; Actinomycetota; Actinomycetes; Micrococcales; Microbacteriaceae. The record is from RNAcentral.